RNAcentral lists this ribosomal RNA (433 nucleotides) under uncultured bacterium. RNAcentral's name for it is "partial 16S ribosomal RNA". It matches the Rfam family "Bacterial small subunit ribosomal RNA", at positions 29 to 507 of the family's 1533-position model. The record is from RNAcentral.
AACGAACGCUGGCGGCAUGCCUAACACAUGCAAGUCGAACGAGACCUUCGGGUCUAGUGGCGCACGGGUGCGUAACGCGUGGGAACCUGCCCUUAGGUACGGAAUACCUCCCCGAAAGGGGUGCUAAUACCGGAUCAUGUCUUCGGCCCAAAGAUUUAUCGCCUUUGGAUGGGCCCGCGUUGGAUUAGCUAGUUGGGAGGGUAAAAGCCUACCAGGGCGACGAUCCGUAGCUGGUCUGAGAGGAUGCUCAGCGACACUUGGACUGAGACACGGCCCAGACUCCUACGCGAUGGAGCAGAGGCUAAUAUUGGACAACGGGCGGAAGCCUGAUCCAGCAAGGCCGGGAAAGUGAUGAUGGCCGUAGGGAUGUAAAGCUCUUUUACCCGGGAUGAUAAUGACGGUACCGGGAGAAUAAGCCCCGGCUAACUCCGUG